This 371-nucleotide ribosomal RNA is filed under the name uncultured bacterium. RNAcentral's name for it is "bacterial SSU rRNA". It matches the Rfam family "Bacterial small subunit ribosomal RNA", at positions 28 to 402 of the family's 1533-position model. The record is from RNAcentral.
GACGAACGCUGGCGGCGUGCUUAACACAUGCAAGUCGAGCGGUAAGGCCCUUUUGGGGGUACACGAGCGGCGAACGGGUGAGUAACACGUGGGUGACCUGCCCUCAGCUCUGGGAUAAGCCUGGGAAACUGGGUCUAAUACUGGAUAUGACCUUUCCUCGCAUGGGGUUGGGUGGAAAGUUUUUCGGCUGGGGAUGGGCCCGCGGCCUAUCAGCUCGUUGGUGGGGUGAUGGCCUACCAAGGCGACGACGGGUAGCCGGCCUGAGAGGGCGACCGGCCACACUGGGACUGAGACACGGCCCAGACUCCUACGGGAGGCAGCAGUGGGGAAUAUUGCGCAAUGGGCGGAAGCCUGACGCAGCGACGCCGCGU